CCGGAAUUAUUGGGUUUAAAGGGUGCGUAGGCGGAUUGAUAAGUCAGCGGUGAAACUCACAGGCUCAACCUGUGCCGUGCCGUUGAAACUGUUAAUCUUGAAUGCGGAUGCUGUGGGAGGAAUGUGUAGUGUAGCGGUGAAAUGCAUAGAUAUUACACAGAACACCGAUUGCGAAGGCAUCUCACAAAGCCGUGAUUGACGCUGAGGCACGAAAGUGUGGGGAUCAAACAGGAUUAGAUACCCUGGUAGUCCACUACUGUAAACGAUGAUAACUCGCUGCCGGCGAUAUAAAGUCGGUGGCCCAGCGAAAGCGAUAAGUUAUCCACCUGGGGAGUACGACCGCAAGGUUGAAACUCAAAGGAAUUGACGGGGGCCCGCACAAGCGGAGGAACAUGUGGUUUAAUUCGAUGAUACGCGAGGAACCUUACC
Molecule: ribosomal RNA, 429 nt
Filed under: uncultured Bacteroidota bacterium
Lineage: Bacteria; Pseudomonadati; Bacteroidota
Description: bacterial SSU rRNA
Rfam family: Bacterial small subunit ribosomal RNA
Source: RNAcentral